Molecule: ribosomal RNA, 468 nt
Filed under: uncultured bacterium
Lineage: Bacteria
Description: partial 16S ribosomal RNA
Rfam family: Bacterial small subunit ribosomal RNA
Source: RNAcentral
GACGAACGCUGGCGGCGUGCUUAACACAUGCAAGUCGAACGGAAAGGCCCUGCUUUUGUGGGGUGCUCGAGUGGCGAACGGGUGAGUAACACGUGAGUAACCUGCCCUUGACUUUGGGAUAACUUCAGGAAACUGGGGCUAAUACCGGAUAGGAGCUCCUGCUGGAUGGGGGGGGUUAGAAAGCGUCGGCGGUUGGGGAUGGACUCGCGGCUUAUCAGCUUGUUGGUGGGGUAGUGGCUUACCAAGGCUUUGACGGGUAGCCGGCCUGAGAGGGUGACCGGCCACAUUGGGACUGAGAUACGGCCCAGACUCCUACGGGAGGCAGCAGUGGGGAAUAUUGCACAAUGGGCGGAAGCCUGAUGCAGCAACGCCGCGUGCGGGAUGACGGCCUUCGGGUUGUAAACCGCUUUCGCCUGUGACGAAGCGUGAGUGACGGUAAUGGGUAAAGAAGCACCGGCUAACUACGUG